RNAcentral lists this ribosomal RNA (498 nucleotides) under uncultured microorganism. RNAcentral's name for it is "bacterial SSU rRNA". It matches the Rfam family "Archaeal small subunit ribosomal RNA", at positions 234 to 734 of the family's 1478-position model. The record is from RNAcentral.
AGUGGGUGUAACGGACCCACUAGCCAAUGACGGGUAUGGGCCUUGAGAGAGGGAGCCCAGAGAUGGACUCUGAGACACGAGUCCAGGCCCUACGGGGCGCAGCAGUCGCGAAAACUUCACACUGGGGGCAACCCUGAUGAGGGAAUUCCUAGUGCCUGCAUUUUGUGUAGGCUUUUCUCUAGUGUAGAUAGCUAGAGGAAUAAGGGCCGGGUAAGACGGGUGCCAGCCGCCGCGGUAAUACCCGCGGCCCGAGUGAUGGUCGAUAUUAUUGAGUCUAAAACGUCCGUAGCCUGUUCAGUAAGUCUUUGGGUAAAUCGGCCAGCUCAACUGACCGAAUUCCGGAGAGACUGCUGAACUUGGGACCGGGAGAGGUGAGAGGUACCUUGAGGGUAGGGGUGAAAUCUUGUGGUCCUCGGGGGACCACCAGUGGCGAAGGCGUCUCACCAGAACGGAUCCGACGGUAAGGGACGAAAGCUAGGGGCACGAACCGGAUUAGAU